GACGAACGCUGGCGGCGUGCUUAACACGUGCAAGUCGAACGGAAAGGCCCUGCUUUUGUGGGGUGCUCGAGUGGCGAACGGGUGAGUAACACGUGAGUAACCUGCCCUUGACUUUGGGAUAACUUCAGGAAACUGGGGCUAAUACCGGAUAGGAGCUCCUGCUGCAUGGUGGGGGUUGGAAAGUUUCGGCGGUUGGGGAUGGACUCGCGGCUUACCAGCUUGUUGGUGGGGUAGUGGCUUACCAAGGCUUUGACGGGUAGCCGGCCUGAGAGGGUGACCGGCCACAUUGGGACUGAGAUACGGCCCAGACUCCUACGGGAGGCAGCAGUGGGGAAUAUUGCACAAUGGGCGGAAGCCUGAUGCAGCAACGCCGCGUGCGGGAUGACGGCCUUCGGGUUGUAAACCGCUUUCGCCUGUGACGAAGCGUGAGUGACGGUAAUGGGUAAAGAAGCACCGGCUAACUACGUG
RNAcentral lists this ribosomal RNA (468 nucleotides) under uncultured bacterium. RNAcentral describes it as "partial 16S ribosomal RNA". It matches the Rfam family "Bacterial small subunit ribosomal RNA", at positions 28 to 507 of the family's 1533-position model. The record is from RNAcentral.